This 8799-nucleotide long non-coding RNA is filed under the name Triticum aestivum (bread wheat). Its description in RNAcentral is "long non-coding RNA (TAES_LNC017216)". Lineage: Eukaryota; Viridiplantae; Streptophyta; Magnoliopsida; Poales; Poaceae. The record is from RNAcentral.
ACAAGAAACUUAAAGGUUUUUCCUUUAGAAUCAGCGGACGUUCAUAUACAUGAAUUUACACUCCCCUAUGAAUUCACACACGCACACUCUAUCCCUUAUGAGCGCCUCUGAGAAAUUGAACCAACAGGUUGCGAGAUUGACGAAGUCAUGACCUGUGCAUCGCUGUCGAUGGGUCGUCGCUUACAGCGAAAGAAUAAGUCGUUAAACCCAGAAAUAUAUCGGGAAAACUGCAAACACCCUUCUCAAGUCAAGGACUUGAACCCGGUUGGAUAGCUUCCACCACAAGGAACCUAACAAACUGUGCUACGCUCAAUUCACCGAAGAGAUAAUGGUUGCGGUUUAUUAACCCUAUAUGUAUGUCUUUUUCGGCUCUUUCUUCUUAUUCAACUUCCCAACAAUAACCUCCCACAUGACUCAUAACACAACACAAGGAAAAAAAGGACUUCAUUUGGCCGCAACGUGAACCAGCACGCUUCUGGCCUAUAGACAGACUGGCUAUGGAUUCUACAGCAGUGAUCGGAUCGAAUCAAAUUUACAAAUUAACUUACUGUAACGCAAACUGAGCUACUCGACAUAAACACACAUAACUUCAUGCUGGCCAGUGGACGUCGAUCACUGCGCGGCUGUUGUCACCUCUUUCGAGGCUAAUUCUUCUUAGACGGCGUCGUCUGUUUCAUCUGCUUCUUCUGAGGCAGGAGCGACUUCCUCCUAUGGGCUGUCUUCGUCAAUUGCGUAUUGCUUGACGAUGCCUUCACCUUCUUUGGGGGAACCUUUGCAGCUUGCUCGCCCAUGACAAGAUUUGCUUCUUUUCUAAUAAUUCUUCUUCUCCAGUGGUAGCUGAGGUGAGGUGGAUAUAGUGUUUACUUUGCUCUGGUUGGGUUGAGGAAGCCUGCAGCAAUGGCUCCAUAUAUAUAGGAGGGGGAAGGUCUUUGAGAAAGCGCUUCGGCCAGACAACACGCUUCCACCGUGUGUGAGAAUUAUUUGGUGGCAUUAAUGUUUCUUGUGCCAGUCUGUUCUCUUUUGGGGAGUAGAUAUGCAUUAUAUUCAAUGCAUAUUAGUUAAGGAUCGCUGCUCAAUGGUUUGGUCAAUGGUUGGGUAUGCGGUUGGGUCAAAGGUUGUGGUCGCUGCCGCGUUGGUCUUUGUUUCUUCUCCUCCUGCUCCUUAUAUUACUACUACAUCAGAAUAAGUGUUGGUGGUUCAGUUUUGGUAGCACACGCCAGACACACAGAUGGCUUGUUAGUUGUUAGCAAGUACACACGAUGUUGCCGUUGCAUGGGAUGUUUUGCUAGAGCUUGAGUUUACAUUAGCCAAACCAAUUGGUAUCAUGUACGACAAAUCUUGUAUAUAUGUUUUGGUAGAGCUUGAGUUUAGAUUAGCUAAACCAUAAUAACUUUGUAUAUUAGUUAGGGGUCGAGUUGACAAGAGAGUUAUUUACCCAGGUUCAGACCUUGUGAGGGAGAACAUUAAUCAAAUUAUAUUUCAUGAGCUGGCCAGUAGGCAAAGAUCAUGUCAAGGUUAAAAAAUGAAUAGGAAUCGGCCGGCGCACGCACAAGCUGCCUAGCUUCGUCGACCUUCUCUUCUUUAUUUAAUUUACUCCUCCUGCUACCACGGCAUCUCGUUAACCACUAAUAUUGGAGCAAGCUAAGUAUGUUAAUACCGCUACAUAAGAACACCACUCAACCGCUCGCUAGAGUCUUCCCGCUGCUCAAUUACUAGCGCACUACCUUGAGCUGUCCCGCUUGUUUCUCCUUGGUGGUAAUGCUAAAGAAUAUUGCAAGAAACUGGAAUGAACACGCAAAAGACAGAUGUAGUUCAGCAACGUGUUAAUUAAUCACGUGUACGUCUUUUCUGACUCAUUUCUUUUAUUUGGUCACCCAAUAACACCAGAAAAACACAAAUAGCCACAACAUGAACUGGCACACUUAAUGUUUUUGCAGGAAAAACUCUCGUAAUUCAAACAAAAAAUAAUUCAAAAAAAAUCAUAAAAUUUCCUUUAGUCCCGGUUGGUGUUACCAACCGGGACUAAAGGGCCAGGGCAUUAGUAUCGACCCUUUAGUCCCGGUUCAUGAACCGGGACUAAAGGCCCUCACCAACCGGGACAAUAGGCCCUUUUUCUACUAGUGUCACUUAGUUCCGAGAUACAUGGCCAUUUAUAAAAAAAAUCUAAGAAAUACAGUUUACCACUAUUUGAAUUGAUACUGAAAAUUGCAAUUUUUUUUGGAAUGUUGAAAUACUAUGAACAAAAAUCUAAUCAUGCGUGUUUUGUUUUGACAAAUCCUUGCAUACAUUUAAAUUGAUAUUAGAAUCAAAUAAGCUUUCUAUCUAAAAUUGUGAUAUAUUUGCUUCCAAGACAUCAUAUUCUCGUUUGAGAAUGUAAAUAUUAUUACCUUCUCCUCUAUUGUCUCCUCUUAUUCAGUUCAUAGAUCGCAUGUCUCCUUCAUGUAAUCACAUGUACUCACACCAUUAUAUUAUUUAAGUUUGACCGACAAUAUGACUAUAUCUAAUGGUUGUGUAUGUGAGUGAGGUUGCUCGUUCUCAUCCACCUAGGUAAUCUUUUGGAUUGGCAUGGCUGUUCUGUCAUAUUGUUGAAGUAGAUGCAUAUGUGUAUAUUAUUGUGUAAAUGCUCACCGGCACCAAGAGAGAAUGUGAAACUUCCAAUAUUUUUCAUGGGCAACAUAUAAAAGAUAAGCUAAGUUGGCCCUAUAGCGCAGAUAAAUGUCACUAUAUCCCGUUAGAAGCACUAAAUUGUACAUAUGUGUUGUUUAGCAGGAUUCUAGAGGUUAUAGCCGCGGAAAACAUUCAACACACAUCUCUAUCCAAUUGUGAUAAUCAUACAUGCUAGCACAUUAUUAGACAUAUCUGUAGUAUGCUAAGUGUAACAAUAUGGCCUCUUCUACUUUGUUGAAGCAUCGUAUCAUGUUACAAAUAUAACGAAAAAUCUUCAAGAUCCGCUUGUAAAUCCCCAAGUACAUAAAUUCCCAUUCAAUUUAGAAGUCCGACAAGAUGCCAAGGUCGGCUCAUUGGGGGCAUUCCUCAAGUAUGUUACAUGACUUGACUAUAUAAUUUUAUUUCCCAUGCAGAGGUAGAAGAAAACCGUCCUCAAUAUUGUCUCCUCUUAUUCAGUUCAUAGAUCGUAUGUCUCCUUCACGUAAUCAAAUGUACUUACACCAUUAUAUUAUUUAAGUUUGAUCAACAAUAUGACUAUAUCUAAUGGUUGUGUAUGUGAGUGAGGUUGUUCGUUCUCAUCCACCUAGGUAAUCCUUUGGAUUGGCAUGGGUGUUGUGUCAUAAUGUUCGAGGUAGAUGCAUAUGUGUAUAUUAAUUGUGUGAAUGCUCACCGGCACCAAAAGAGAAUGUGAAACUUCCAAAAAAAUUCAUGGGCAACAUAUAAAACAUAAGCUAAGUUGGCCCUAUAGCGCAGAUAAAUGUCACUAUAUCCCGUUAGAAGCACUAAAUUGUACAGAUGUGUUGUUUAGCAGGAUUCUAGAGGUUAUUACCACGGAAAACAUUCAACACACAUCUCUAUCCAAUUGUGAUAAUCAUACAUGUUAGCACAUUAUUAGACAUAUCUGUAGUAUGCUAAGUGUAACAAUAUGGCCUCUUCUACUUUGUUGAAGCAUCGUAUCAUGUUAUAAAUAUAACGAAAAAUCUUCAAGAUCCGCUUGUAAAUCCCCAAGUACAUAAAUUCCCAUUCAAUUUAGAAGUCCGACAAGAUGCCAAGGUUGGCUCAUUGGGGGCAUUCCUCAAGUAUGUUACAUGACUUGACUAUAUAAUUUUAUUUCCCAUGCAGAGGUAGAAGAAAACCGUCCUCAAUACUGGAUCCAUCCAGAGGUGGCGGCAGUUUACAACCUCACAUCGACUGGAGACUAGCAUCGCCCUUGGAAAUGCCCUUGUAUUGCUGCUAACGUAUUUCUCAUUUCCCAGUAAACUGGAUGCAUUCAUGGAACAUGUAUGCCAAUCUCUCCUUUUAUUCAAUCACCCAACAACAACAUGAUGCACGACUCAACAACACAUGUAAGAAGAAACUAUACUUGGCCACCACGUGAACAAGCACACUUAUGAUUUACAUACUGAGGUUACUAAUUUAGACAACACAACAUAAACUGAUGUACAAGACAGAGACACAAUUGACUUCAUCAUAGCCAGACAACAUGGAUGAGAACGCGGCUGCUCUCACCACUUUUGAGGCCACUUCUUAUUUCUUAGGCUGCGGCUGCUUCUUCUUAGCCAUCAUCUCUUUUUCUGAGUCAGCCUCACGUUUAUCCUACGGUUACGCCCCUUCUUAGGAUUCCUUCGUUGUGCCCCCGGCUUAUUGGUUGACGGUUGCGUUGGCCUGUUAGGGGGAACCGUUGUACCUGGAACCUUUGGACCUGACUUGUCCAUGACGCCUCCUCCCCUCCUCCUCCUCCUCCUCCUCCUCCUCCUUCUUCUUCUUCUUCUUCUUCUUCGCUUGUGCAAGGUAGCUGAGGUGAGGUGGAUGUGGUGUUUGUUUUGCACCGGUUGGUUUGUGGAAUCCUGCAGCAACGGCGCGCGCAUAUAUAUAGGAGGAUUAAGGACUUGGGAAAGCGCUCUGGCCGGACAAGGUGGUUUCAUCGAAGGAAAAUGAUUUGGUGGCAUCCCCAGUGCUGCUGUUAGUCAGUCUCUUUUGUGUCGUUUUGGGGAGUAGAUAUGUAUAUUUGAUUCAUUUGUUAUGGGUGGAUAGGUAUGCAGUUGAGUCAGUGGUCUUCGUUGCUGACAGUUGAUCUUCAUUUCUUCUUCUCAUCCUCCUUGUACUAUAGCUACAUCAGAAUAAGUGUUGGUGGUCAAGUUUUACUAGCAUAUACCACACGGCUUGUUACUUGUUAGGCCAUCUUCAACGGCUAUCCGUGGACAAAGAGGAUCAGUCCGCGGACACAAAUUUGGGAGCCGGCUAUCCAACGCUGCACCAUACAUUUGAAACACUUUGUCAACAAAGCAGAUGUACCUCACUCAGACACAUCAGAUUACAUAUAAACCUGGUGAAAAACAUUUAUAUUUUUGACAUAUUCUAACUAAAAAACUAAAACUAUGUGCAUGUACCACCACACGGAGGUCCACUACCUUGACACGGAUACAUUACACUAGUCUACGAUCGGCCGCGGAGUGUCCCUUUGUCUUCCCCUUGUCAGGCAGUCUGGUGACUCAUCGGAUUGCUGGGAGCCCCGGAGGUAUAUUCCUCCCCUGUAUCUUCCCUAUGUCUGGCUGCGCCGCUUAUCGGAGUGGCAAAAAGGGUGCUUCAGUCGAAAGGGAAGGGGGAAUCCGCUUCCGUGAAGCGCGGAUCAGGGUUGGUGUUUGGGGCAGGGGAAGAUGGUGGCCUGCGAGACAGGGCGAGACAUUUGGUGUGCAUGCGGCGAUGCUGCGGCGGUGGCCUUCUAAGGACCCAAGUGGCGGCGGGCUCCCAUGUUCUACUUUUCCUCGAUUUUGUCGGCAAACGCGGACAUGCUAGCCGCCGCCUCGUCGAUCUCCACUAUAUAUGAGAUGCCUAGUAUAUAAGUGUCCUACUAGGACACGACUUCAUAUUCUAUCUAAACACAAUACUACUCAGAGUCCAACUAUAACCUACCUUAUACACAAUAUUCCAUACAACUCUAACAACUCCGGCUGGGUCAAGGAAACCUCAUGCACGGCCGGCUGGAAGACGCGCUUCCACCAUGGAGAAUGGUUUGGUGGCGUUCAGAGUCAGUCUCGUUUGUUUUGUUCUGUUUUCAGGAGUAUGUAUGCACAUUCGAUGCAUUUGUCAUUGACGGAUGGAUGCGGUCGGGUCAAAGGUCGUGGUCGUCUCCGCGUCAGUCUUCACUUCUCCUCCAUCUCCUCUUCCUUAUACACCUACAUUAGAACUUGCGUUAGGUUAAGUUUAGGAAGCAUACGGAAUUUCUUUUAGUUAUAAUCAAAUAGAUUAAGAUAUCUUGCAAUCACACCAUGUCAUAGGCACAUGUGAUUUUCAUGCAAAUUAUUUCUUUGACCUGCUAUCACCAGCAACUGCCAGCCUGAACCAUUUUAUAUCAAUCCAAACCAAAACGAGCUACCUGUACAAGAUGGAGAUAAUUGCAACAAAUUCAGACCGUGUACGUCUAGUGCAUCUGUUGAUAGCAUUUAACCUGCCAUGAUUCUUUGAGGAUGCAUGUUGGCCUAUGCAUCCUUUGAUUGGAUGGACUUCUCUAAAUAUUCACUACACAAGUCAGUCAUUCUCAGAAGUGGACGGUCCAGCGAAUUUGGAAGGGUUAAGAACAUGGUUAAUAGUAUAGCCAGCUGCCAUGUCAUCUACAGCUCAUUUUAUAGUCAAUAUGUACAAUAUUAGAUCAAAAGAGUGUACUACUUUUUUAUUAUGUGGUCCACCUUUCAUUCUCACAAAGUGCCUAGGAGCACGUGCUAGAGCUCGCUCUUCAUGAAGAGCCCGCUUAUCUUCUUUCUCCUCUUCUCUUUACUCCAACUAAGCAGAAAUAUACUAGUUUAUUCCUUAUAGCCCGCUGACUCAGCUCUAUUGUACUUGCUCUAAGGAAAGAAAAUUAUCUAUUGGCUAUGGCUGAGACUAAUUCUGACUGAUGUUGUUGAUGUGUCUGCUAAUUUGGCAAAAUUCCUCGCUUGUCCAAUUGCAGCAUCUCGCUCUAGUAGUAGUCCAAGUCUCUCAGCCUCAAAUACGAUGCAUAUGACUAUUUUAAUGGAAAAACCUGUUGGCGUGUUGCGUCAAAUGGCACAGACCGGCCAAGCUGGGCCGGCCCAUUAAGAUGUACAGUUGUUCUCCGUCUUGGGGAACCUUUCGGAAGGUUCCAGUCUGGUUUUCACCGUUUUUUGUUUUUCUUUCCUGGUUUUCAUUUUCUUUUUUUCUUAAAUAUUGGUCUUUUUGGUAAAAAAAUAUCUGUUAUAAAAUAUCAAAUUGUUCAUGUUUUACAAGUUUAUUGGAAUUUCUAAAAAUGUUUUCACUUCCAAAAAUUCUUCACAAACUAAAAGAUGGUCAUGUUAUUAUAAAAAAUGUUUGUAAUUUUUUAAAAUGUUCCUGUAUUUAAAAAGUGUUCACAAAUUCAAAAAAUAGUCAGGAACUUCAAAAAAUAUGUUUAUUGUUCAUUUUUUAAAGGCACAUCUUCCAAAAAAAUAGAUUCUUCAUAAUAAGGUUUAUGUUUUUAAAAAAAUAAAUCCACCAAAAAUAUGUUUACUAUGGGCAUUUGGGGCAUGUUUUGGGGUGUUGUAACGGGGCUUCCACCCUGCUAGUGCAUGUUCUAUGCUGGUUUCAGUCUAACCCGCCAAGAGUGUUUCCUAUUGUACUGCUUGCUUUCUUUCUAAUAAAGAUCGGCCAAGGGCCCUUCGAGAAAAGAUCUUCCCCUUUAAUGGCGGAUUUGGUUUUUUAAUGGGAGGAAGAACAACAUACCAGGCUACCAACUCUCCCAUUAAGAGUAGAGAUUCCCGAGAAGCCGCUGGCGCUAGAUAUAUGACCGCAGCCAGGCGAGAAAGACGCGGGAUUCUAGAUGGGGAUAAGGAACAAUAUUGGUGGAGAUGAAGAAGGGUUGGACGAAACCAAAAUUAACAUAUCCUUGUCAAAACAAGAAACCAAAAUUAACAUAUGAUGAUGAAGGAAAGUACAGGGGAUGUGUGGGUAAGGGAAGGAAAGCAAAUAAUUGAUCGAAUCGGCACCAGGUUUUGUUGGGACACACGUGAUUUCUUGUUAUGAUGUUCGCACUUGGGAGAAGCAGAACAUAGCGAGCUAGAAUGGUCAUGCCAGCUGCUGCUUAGACAGGCAUCUCCGGCGUGCUGGGAAUCAAUGUCCCGACAUGCUCGAAACAGGAGGGCGCUGCACCGUGUUGGAACUGGACAACCACCAUGUUGUAACUGUGGUUGAACACCAGUGGUGGGGACAGAUGCGAGGGACCUGUCCUGUGAGGGCGGCAACACCACGGCGAGCGGUAGCUAGCCGGUAGUGCUUCGAGAAUCGGUCGGCGCACGUCCAUCACAAGUAUAGUGGCGCUAGCUAUCGACUCUUUUCGAUCAAAUGGGAAGGAGCGAGCACUGUGUGAGGAAGGAGACGAAGAGAAGAAGAAUCGAAACGUGCCAGUGGGGCCAAUCCGGCUGGCACCAAGCGACCAACCAAAUUUUGGGCAAGUCGACCGGCGCCUAGCGCCGCCCUUGGAAAUGUCAUUGUAUCGAUGCUAACGUAUUUUUCAAUGUACUGGAUGCACUCAUGGAACAUGUAUGUCAAUCCUUCCUUUUAUUCAAUCACCCAACAACAACCUAAUGCACGACUCAACAGCACAUGUAAGAAGAAAGUAUACUUGGCCGCAACGUGAACAAGCACACUUAUGGUUUACAUAUUGAGGUUACAAAUUAACCUGCCACAACAUAAACUAACGUACAAGACAGAAACACAAUUAACUUCAUCAUUGCCAGACAACAUGGAUCAGAAUGAAAAAAAAUAAAAUAUAGUAAAAAGAACAUGGAUCAGAACGCGGCUGCUCUCACCACUUUUGAGGCUAUUUCUUAGUAUUUCUUAGGCUGCGGCUGCUUCUUCUUAGCUAUCCUCUGUUUUUGCGAGUCAGCUUCAGAUCUUUCCUACGAUUACGCGACUUUUUAGGUUUCUUUGGUUGUGCUUUGGCUUAUUGGGUGGCGGCGGCGUUCGCUUGUUAUGGGGAACCGUUGUACCUGGAACCUUUGUACCUGUCUUCUCCAUGACGCCUCCUCCUCCUACUCCUCCUCUCCCUCCUCCUCCUCCUCUCCUUCUUCUUCUUCUUCUUCUUCUUGUGCGAGGUAGAUGAGGUGAGGUGGAUGUGGUGUUUGUUUUGCACCGGUUGGUUUG